CCUACGGGAGGCAGCAGUGGGGAAUAUUGCACAAUGGGCGCAAGCCUGAUGCAGCCAUGCCGCGUGUAUGAAGAAGGCCUUCGGGUUGUAAAGUACUUUCAGCGGGGAGGAAGGUGAUAAGGUUAAUCCCGCAGCAAUUGACGUUACCCGCAGAAGAAGCACCGGCUAACUCCGUGCCAGCAGCCGCGGUAAU
Molecule: ribosomal RNA, 193 nt
Filed under: uncultured bacterium
Lineage: Bacteria
Description: partial 16S ribosomal RNA
Rfam family: Bacterial small subunit ribosomal RNA
Source: RNAcentral